This 918-nucleotide unclassified non-coding RNA is filed under the name Hevea brasiliensis (rubber tree). The record is from RNAcentral. Lineage: Eukaryota; Viridiplantae; Streptophyta; Magnoliopsida; Malpighiales; Euphorbiaceae.
UGGUAUUUAACUUCAUUCAUCCAUAGAGAAGCAACAUCCUGCAAUAGAAGUACUAGGUAAUGGUUUUCAUUAUUACUACAAACAAUCAUGUCUAUAAUAUUUCUUAAAACAUCUCCUCAAUUUACAAACUUUAAAUAUGACAUGGCACUCACUAGAGAGCACUAGAAUUAAUAAACCAUGUUACAGAGGUUACAGCAGAAGAACCAUCUAUAUAUAUAAUAUGUUUUCAACUCCACCCGUCUUCUCAAACAGGACGAAGAUCGGAUUUUUACUCAGUUCCUUGCAUCGGGACCAUCAUAUGCUGACCCUGAGAAUUCCCAUAAUUCAUUCCUUGUGAGUAUGAACCCUGAUGUGCAAGCUGUGAAUUAGGACCAGGUUGCAUCCCAUCUCUUUUAGUAGAGCCAUCAGCAGCCUUUGACGUUCCCUCCAUCUCUCUGUAUCGAGCAAGAUACACCUUGAGUGGUUCAAUAUAAUCUUCAAACCCAAGAGUUGCCAUUGCCCAUAGCAAAUCGUCACCAUUAAUAGUCUUCCUUUUCUCUCUCUGGCACUUGUCACUUGCCUCGCUAGUAAUGAAGCUGAUGAACUCAGAAACACAUUCCUGAACAGUCUCCUUAGCAUCCUUCGCAAUUUUUCCAUUAGCAGGAAGUGCCUUCUUCAUGAUUCUACUAAUAUUAGCUAUUGGUAAAAACCUGUCCUGUUCACGUACAUUAGACCUCGGACUCUGGUCCCCACCACUCUCAUGACUACCACCUCCGUUUGGACUCGCCGGUGACCUAGACGAACCUUGACCAUCCGCCAUACUGGGGAUGGAGGGAACUGGAAGAUCGGACGUUGGAGAAGAAGGGAGAAAGGGAGACGACUGAGAUGAGGCAGAGUUUUGGAUUUUGCCCUAUCAACACCGUUCGUUUUACAAAGAAA